CUCUCUCCUCUCUCUUCUCACUCUAUCCCCUCUUUCCUGACCCGACGACUCUCUCCCAAAUAGCGCUCGCUCUCCGACGACGGCCGCGCUCUCUCCGACGACGGCGACGCUCCCUGCCGACGACGGCCUGUCUCUCUACUCGCCGGCCUCUUCGCUCUCCGACGACGGCCGCCCUCUCUUCGCUCUCCGACGACGGCCGCCCUCUCUUCGACGAAGGCGACGCUCCCUCCCGACGACGGCCGUGCUCUCUUCGACGACGGCGACGGCGACGCUCCCUCCUGACGACGGCCUCUCUCUCUACUCCACGGCCUCUUCGCUCUCCGACGACGGCGACUCUCCCUCCCGACUACGGCCCCUCUCUCUACUCGACGGCCUCCUCCUCCCGACCUCUUUGUUCCCGAAUCGCGCUCUCCUGACGCUGGGCUUUCUCCGACGAGGGCCGCGCUCUCUCCGCUAUGGUCAAAGCGGUCUCUCCCGAGAAGCCCUAGAUCUGCGACGACAAUCCCCGCUUCACUUCGUACAGGGCCGACGAGGUCCUUGGUCGGAACUGGGGUAUUCCUGGGAUCUAUCUGUCGGAUGAAGGAGAGCUUGUUGUUUUGAAGUUUGAGAUAUGUUGUAAAGGAGCGAUUUUUCCGGCUGCCUCUGUUUUGGUCGUUCUAGUGGGUAGUGGAAAUGGAGAGGAUUUCUGGGCUCUGAUCUUCUUUGUCUUACUGUUUGGGGUAGUCCUGGGAUCUAUCUGAAGAAUGAAGGAGAGCUUGUUGCUUUGAUGUUUGAGAUUUGUUGUAAAGGAGCGACUUUUCGUGGAGGGUACGUGUUAACUCGUUUGGUAUGUGAGAGAAUUUGAAGGAUAGAAGGAAUACGAGGUAAGAGAUGUUGAUUGGUGUACCAGAGAGCGUGAAAAUAGGGCGGUUUUAUUGGUACAUCAUCAGUAAUAAUUUCAAUUUGGGGCGUGGUCUUGUAAUAUAGAUAUAGCGUAUUUAAUAGGCAGACCAAUCAGAAUAUUUUCUCUCUUUUCAUCCAAUUAACCACGCUGCCGCCUUUGCCUUGGCCACCUCCGACCAAAAGCUCCUCCAGUCUCACUCCCCAAUUUAGCUGCCGCCUUGCACAACGCGAAGGAUUACUUUACAUGGCUGAUCGCAUUGCUCAUAACUUGAAGGGUUCACAAGAUUCUGGUUUCGCUGAUCUUAACUUGUUUCGAUUUUAAGAUUCUGGUUUAGCUGCUGCCUUAUGAUUGAACUUUCACACUUCUUGAGAUGUUGCUGUUUAUCUUACAUUGGCUUGAUAACAGGGUCUGCUAUUGAUAUGAUGACCAGCACCAUAACUGUUGGUAGUCAAACCAACUGUUGCUCAUAAUGCUGAGGAGGAUUUAACUGCUGUAAAGAAUAAAAUUUGGGAUAGUCAAACCAGAAGGUGGCAAGCAAUUGGCAUGCUAAGGCAUGUUCUGUUCAGCUACUCUACCUUGGAGAUUAAAGAAACAUGCCAUUGACUUCUUGCUUUGCACCACGGAAGGAGAUAUCUCACAGAGAGUGAGAGUGAAACUCUAGAUUUCUCAUAAUUUGUUCCUAGCCAUUUUGCUGCCUUGUAGGUAUUAUAGUGAAAGAUGUUGAUUUUAUGCCAUUUAAUUUGUAUAUUCUUCUUAUCAUUAAAGUGCAAAACAUAGGGGAUUGAGACGUCAUCAUGUACACAUUGGAUGCUGUGCUAAGGAAGAAAGCUUUUGAUGUACUGGAAAGGGUUAGUGUUUUUUAUUUAAGAUCCUCUGCUCUUGCAUCACUAAACAGCUCGUCGCUCUUGAUUACAAAUUCUAACUCUUCCUUUAUGGUAACGGCAUUAAAGCCUGCUUAAAUGACAUAAGGGUAUUUUUUCUUUACAUGGAAGGAUGCAUAAUGUGACCUGAUUGCCUACAACUUGUGUAGGUAGCCAUCCUUCUAGAUAUUGUUAGAAAAGUGAGGCAAUCCAAAACUACAAACGAAUUGUUGCAAGGAAAUGUUGAUAAAGUUUUCCAUGAGACACCACUUUGGUUUGCUGAAGUGCUUGAACUGGUGGAAUUGGUUCGGAAGCCUUCUAAGGGAGGCCCUCCAAGUCUUCUUGAACAAAGUGAUGCGGAUAUUGCUUGCUCUAGGCCUGAUAUGAAGUUGCUUAUUUCAAGUGCCAAACUAGAUGUGGACAAGUUCAGUGAUUUUUUUCACUCCACCCUGAUAUUUAGAUAUCCAGGAAGGCGGUAUCCAGUUGAAAUUCUUCACACCAGUGCACUUGAAGCAGAUUACUUGGAUGCAGCUAUUGUUACUGCUCUUCAAAUACAUGUGCAGCAACUGUGUGGCGAUAUUUUGAUUUUUCUUAUCAGUCAAGAGGAAAUUGAAGCAUCGGAAGAGCUUUUGAAGCAUAUGUAAGGGGUUUUGGCUCCAAAAUUGCCGAACUCAUAAUAUGCCCAAUAUAUGCUAAUUUGCCUACAGAUCUUCAGGCAAAGAUAUUUGAACCCACGCCAGAAGGUGCUCGUAAGGGCUCCCAACGUUUCACUAGGACAAAAUGUCCAGACAAGGAUAAAGCAAUUCUCUUUGAUGAAUAAGUUCAAGAAGAAAGUUCUCUGAGUAGUAGCAGACAAUUUGGCUGAUGAGCAAGUGGAUCAUAUCAAAGAGAUGUUCCACGUGAUGGACACCGAUAAAAAUGGAGAUCUGACAUUUGAAGAGUUGAAACAUGGCCUGCACAAAUAUGGACAGCAAGUUGCUGAUCCUGAUGUGUAGAUGCUGAUGGAUGCAGCUGAUGAAGAUGGAAGUGGAACGCUGAACUGUUAGGAGUUUGUGACUAUGUUAGUUCACUUGAGAAGGAUUGGUAGCGAUGACCACCUUACUCGAGCUUUUGAAUUCUUUGACAAGAAACAAAGCGGAUAUAUUGAAUUCGAUGAGUUGAAAGACGCUUUGAUAGAUGACAAUCUUGGUCCGAACAAUGAAAAAUUUAUUGAAGACAUCAUUUUCAAUGCUAAUCUAGAUAAGGUAAUACAUAACCAGAACAACCUGCAAUUUGGAAUC
Eucalyptus grandis is the source of this 3023-nucleotide RNA transcript. It is a transcript of the gene named pre-mRNA-splicing factor ATP-dependent RNA helicase DEAH1-like, with no coding region annotated. NCBI's taxonomy places the organism in Eukaryota, Viridiplantae, Streptophyta, Magnoliopsida, Myrtales, Myrtaceae. The record is from RefSeq and is a predicted model, not a curated record. The transcript has 6 exons.